GAUGAACGCUAGCGGCAGGCUUAAUACAUGCAAGUCGAGGGGCAGCACAGGUAGCAAUACUGGGUGGCGACCGGCAAACGGGUGCGGAACACGUACGCAACCUUCCUUUAAGUGUGGGAUAGCCCAGGGAAACUUGGAUUAAUACCACGUAAUAUAAUCGGGUGGCAUCAUUUGAUUAUUAUAGCUCCGGCGCUUAAAGA
RNAcentral lists this ribosomal RNA (200 nucleotides) under uncultured bacterium. Its description in RNAcentral is "partial 16S ribosomal RNA". It matches the Rfam family "Bacterial small subunit ribosomal RNA", at positions 28 to 225 of the family's 1533-position model. The record is from RNAcentral.